ACCCUGUGUUUGUUCUUCGCGGGCCGGGCUCUCCCAAGCGCUGGGACAGGACUAUCCUUCAAGCCAAGCAUCUGCAGUCUUGGGGAGCUCAGCUGUUGCCUGUUGCAGAAGGAUCACCCCAGCUGAGUUUGUAGACAGGGUUUCUCUGUGUAGAACAGACUCUCCUCAAACUCAGAGAACCACCUGCCUCUGCCUCUGGAGCUCUGGGAUUAAAGAUCCAGACAGGAACAUGGCUAAUGCCUUGAAUGCUUCCUCAUGUGAGGAGUGCUCGAUGCUGACGAGGAAAGGAAGUGAUUCUAAAACAACCCUUUAGGACUUCCCGCUAUUGCAAAGGCCAGUGCGGAGUGAAUCUGGGGUCGUAAUGUGCUGUGUCCCCACCCUGCCCAGGCCAGUGCAGAGCGAAUGUACUGUCCUUAUGUAUUGUGGCCGCCAGAGGGCAGAACUGAGUCAAGAAGGAGAGCAGGAGAUGGCCGCUCAGAAACAAAAAGCUAAAGAAACUGACCCGAGAUCGCUGACGGCCACCAGAGAAGCACAUUCCAGCGCGUAUUCUCCGUGCUUGGCAUUUCAGUGUGGCUUUCUGUCCAUCCCAGUACAGUGUUGAGUUUGCAACCCUUUCCUUGGUGGGUGUUAUGGUGCAUGCCAGUGAUUGCUGAAGCUGGCAGGCCAAGGAUCGCCUUAGUGAGUUUGAGCUAAUUUGUGUCCAGCAGACUCUCU
Molecule: long non-coding RNA, 714 nt
Filed under: Mus pahari (shrew mouse)
Lineage: Eukaryota; Metazoa; Chordata; Mammalia; Rodentia; Muridae
Description: predicted gene 20443 (MGP_PahariEiJ_G0004846.1)
Source: RNAcentral